RNAcentral lists this ribosomal RNA (923 nucleotides) under Thaxterogaster cretax. RNAcentral's name for it is "Cortinarius cretax partial large subunit ribosomal RNA". It matches the Rfam family "Eukaryotic large subunit ribosomal RNA", at positions 39 to 941 of the family's 3401-position model. The record is from RNAcentral. Lineage: Eukaryota; Fungi; Basidiomycota; Agaricomycetes; Agaricales; Cortinariaceae.
CAUAUCAAUAAGCGGAGGAAAAGAAACUAACAAGGAUUCCCCUAGUAACUGCGAGUGAAGCGGGAAAAGCUCAAAUUUAAAAUCUGGCAGUCUCUGGCUGUCCGAGUUGUAAUCUAGAGAAGUGUUAUCCGCGCUGGACCGUGUACAAGUCUCCUGGAAUGGAGCGUCAUAGAGGGUGAGAAUCCCGUCUUUGACACGGACUGCCAGGGCUUUGUGAUGCGCUCUCAAAGAGUCGAGUUGUUUGGGAAUGCAGCUCAAAAUGGGUGGUAAAUUCCAUCUAAAGCUAAAUAUUGGCGAGAGACCGAUAGCGAACAAGUACCGUGAGGGAAAGAUGAAAAGAACUUUGGAAAGAGAGUUAAACAGUACGUGAAAUUGCUGAAAGGGAAACGCUUGAAGUCAGUCGCGUUGGCCAGGGAUCAACCUUGCUUUUGCUUGGUGUACUUUCUGGUCGACGGGUCAGCAUCAAUUUCGACCAUUGGAAAAAGGUCAGGGGAAUGUGGCAUCUUCGGAUGUGUUAUAGCCCUUGGUUGUAUACAAUGAUUGGGAUUGAGGAACUCAGCACGCCGCAAGGCCGGGUUUUUUUUAACCACGUACGUGCUUAGGAUGCUGGCAUAAUGGCUUUAAUCGACCCGUCUUGAAACACGGACCAAGGAGUCUAACAUGCCUGCGAGUGUUUGGGUGGAAAACCCGAGCGCGCAAUGAAAGUGAAAGUUGAGAUCCCUGUCGUGGGGAGCAUCGACGCCCGGACCAGACCUUUUGUGACGGUCCUGCGGUAGAGCAUGUAUGUUGGGACCCGAAAGAUGGUGAACUAUGCCUGAAUAGGGUGAAGCCAGAGGAAAACUCUGGUGGAGGCUCGUAGCGAUUCUGACGUGCAAAUCGAUCGUCAAAUUUGGGUAUAGGGGGGCGAAAGGACUAAUCGAACC